Molecule: ribosomal RNA, 580 nt
Filed under: uncultured Arthrobacter sp.
Lineage: Bacteria; Bacillati; Actinomycetota; Actinomycetes; Micrococcales; Micrococcaceae
Description: bacterial SSU rRNA
Rfam family: Bacterial small subunit ribosomal RNA
Source: RNAcentral
ACGGGUGAGUAACACGUGAGUAACCUGCCCUUAACUCUGGGAUAAGCCUGGGAAACUGGGUCUAAUACCGGAUAUGACUCCUCAUCGCAUGGUGGGGGGUGGAAAGCUUUUUUGUGGUUUUGGAUGGACUCGCGGCCUAUCAGCUUGUUGGUGAGGUAAUGGCUCACCAAGGCGACGACGGGUAGCCGGCCUGAGAGGGUGACCGGCCACACUGGGACUGAGACACGGCCCGGACUCCUACGGGAGGCAGCAGUGGGGAAUAUUGCACAAUGGGCGCAAGCCUGAUGCAGCGACGCCGCGUGAGGGAUGACGGCCUUCGGGUUGUAAACCUCUUUCAGUAGGGAAGAAGCGAAAGUGACGGUACCUGCAGAAGAAGCGCCGGCUAACUACGUGCCAGCAGCCGCGGUAAUACGUAGGGCGCAAGCGUUAUCCGGAAUUAUUGGGCGUAAAGAGCUCGUAGGCGGUUUGUCGCGUCUGCCGUGAAAGUCCGGGGCUCAACUCCGGAUCUGCGGUGGGUACGGGCAGACUAGAGUGAUGUAGGGGAGACUGGAAUUCCUGGUGUAGCGGUGAAAUGCGCAGA